This 489-nucleotide ribosomal RNA is filed under the name uncultured bacterium. RNAcentral describes it as "bacterial SSU rRNA". It matches the Rfam family "Bacterial small subunit ribosomal RNA", at positions 8 to 526 of the family's 1533-position model. The record is from RNAcentral.
AGAGUUUGAUCAUGGCUCAGCCUGAACGCUGGCGGCGUGGCUAAGACAUGCAAGUCGCACGGUGUAGCAAUACACAGUGGCGAACGGGUGAGUAAUGAAUCGCUAAUGUACCCCGGACUCUGGGAUAGCUACCCGAAAGGGUAGGUAAUACCAGAUGAUAUAUCCUGAUGGCAUCAUCGGGAUCUCAAAGGUCCGCCGGUCUGGGAGCAGGCGAUUUCGUAUCAGCUUGUUGGUGAGGUAACGGCUCACCAAGGCGACGACGCGUAGCCGGACUGAGAGGUUGGCCGGCCACAUUGGGACUGAGACACUGCCCAGACUCCUACGGGGGGCUGCAGUAACGAAUCUUCCGCAAUGCACGAAAGUGUGACGGAGCGACGCCGCGUGUGGGACGAAGCCCUUCGGGGUGUAAACCACUGUCAGGGGUUAGAAAGUUCUGAUCAACCCCAGAGGAAGGCACGGCUAACUCUGUGCCAGCCGCCGCGGUAAUUC